CCUGGCUCAGAACGAACGCUGGCGGCGUGGAUAAGACAUGCAAGUCGAACGGAAAACAAUUUGCUGGUAACAGCAGAUUGUUUUUAGUGGCGUACGGGUGAGUAACACGUAGGUAUCUGCCGGAAAGUGGGGGAUAGCUCGCCGAAAGGCGAAUUAAUACCGCAUGUGGAGGCAACUUCAAAGCUGGGCGGCAACGUCUGGCGCUUUCCGAUGAGCCUGCGGCCCAUCAGCUUGUUGGCGGGGUAAAGGCCCACCAAGGCUACGACGGGUAGCUGGUCUGAGAGGACAACCAGCCACACUGGAACUGAGACACGGUCCAGACACCUACGGGUGGCAGCAGUCGAGAAUCUUUCACAAUGGGGGAAACCCUGAUGAAGCGACGCCGCGUGGAGGAUGAAGGCCCUAGGGUCGUAAACUCCUGUCACCGCAGAACAAGGGCACAGGCGCUCAUACCGCCUGUGUUUGAUAGUAUGCGGAGAGGAAGGAACGGCUAACUCUGUGCCAGCAGCCGCGGUGAUACAGAGGUUCCAAGCGUUGUUCGGAUUCACUGGGCGUAAAGGGUGCGCAGGAGGUUGCGUAAGUCGAUUGUGAAAGCUCCGGGCUCAACUCGGAAAGUGCAAUCGAUACUGCGUGACUGGAGGGCCGGAGAGGCAUACGGAAUUCCAGGAGUAGCGGUGAAAUGCGUAGAUAUCUGGAAGAACACCAACGGCGAAAGCAGUAUGCUGGAAGGCGCCUGACUCUGAGGCACGAAGGCCAGGGUAGCAAACUGGAUUAGAUACCCAGGUAGUCCUGGCAGUAAACGGUGCUCACCAGGUGUCGGUGGAUUCGACCCCAUCGGUGCCGAACCUAACGGAUUAAGUGAGCCGCCUGGGAAGUACGGUCGCAAGAUUAAAACUCAAAGAAAUUGACGGGGGCCCGCACAAGCGGUGGAGUAUGUGGCUUAAUUCGAUGCAACGCGAAGAACCUUACCUGGUCUUGACAUGCAGAGUUCAUCCGGUGAAAGCCGGUGGCUCGCAAGAGCGAUCUGCACAGGUGCUGCAUGGCUGUCGUCAGCUCGUGUCGUGAGAUGUUGGGUUAAGUCCCGCAACGAGCGCAACCCCUGUGGCUUGUUACUGCUAACGCAGGACUCGAGCCAGACUGCCCUGUGAAACGGGGAGGAAGGUGGGGAUGACGUCAAGUCAGUAUGGUCCUUACGACCAGGGCUGCACACGUACUACAAUGCCCAACACAGAAGGAAGCAAGACCGCGAGGUGGAGCUAAUCCCCAAAAUUGGGCCCAGUUCGGAUUGGAGACUGCAACUCGCCUCCAUGAAGCUGGAAUCGCUAGUAAUGGCGCAUCAGCUACGGCGCCGUGA
RNAcentral lists this ribosomal RNA (1354 nucleotides) under uncultured organism. Its description in RNAcentral is "bacterial SSU rRNA". It matches the Rfam family "Bacterial small subunit ribosomal RNA", at positions 18 to 1365 of the family's 1533-position model. The record is from RNAcentral.